Long non-coding RNA from Mesocricetus auratus (golden hamster), 1051 nucleotides. RefSeq lists it as uncharacterized. The transcript has 2 exons. NCBI's taxonomy places the organism in Eukaryota, Metazoa, Chordata, Mammalia, Rodentia, Cricetidae. The record is from RefSeq and is a predicted model, not a curated record.
CCCCGCCUCAACAAACAAGCUAAGGGCUACCUUAGUUCUGCAGCAUCUUCCAAAGGACUGUCUGGAUCUAACUAGGUCCUCACCAUGACCUAAAAUGUGUGUGUGAGAAAAGCGUGCCAGGAUUCCCUCGGCUCCCACGAACAGGAUCCUAUUUUAAGAGCUGUAACCACUCACGCACACUGACCCUUUGGUCCUGUCUAGCACCCUGUGUGUGCUACCCACAUAAUGUAUGACACACCACUUCCUGGAAGUCCAUUUCCCCCACAGGCGCUAGAGCUUCUGCGAUGCUCAUGAAGUCCCAUAAAGCAACUUUUAGCUUAAGAGAAUUUUAAUCAACCAGUAUUCUUGAUUUGGCCAUCAGGCUAGCAAAUCUUUUUUUUUUUUUUUUUUUACAAUAAUUAAGUCUUUGGUCUGGUACGUUAAAAUACGAUUGAUAAUUUAAGUUAAUACAGAAGUUCAUUAUAUUUUAAUCAUGUCCCCGAAUAACAGUUCUUGUUAAAUGACUUCAUUUGUAGAGCAGGGAAGGAAAAUCCUGUCACAGUCAAGGGAGAACUGUGCUAAGACUUGCACAGCUUUUCAGCUUUUCCUAUGGGCUGACCACACCGUUCACCAGGUUACGGGACUGAGAGGGGAGGAGACCGAGUUUGCCUGUCUUCUGCGAGACAAAAGGAACAGAACUCUAAAGAGACCACGACAGAAAACCACAAGGAAUCAAAAUGAAGAGAACAAGUUAUCAUGCGGUGCCUUGUCCCAACUCAUCCAACAAUAAUGUAAUUCCUGCACCUAAGGCUCGGAGAACAUCUCAGAAGAGGGGGCAGGAAGACUGUAAGAGUCAGAGGACCAGGAUGCAGGCACCUGGUCUGUGAACCUGUAAUGGUGGCCACACCCCUUGGGUAUGGCUUGAUGAGGAUGGAAGCGGACGGAGGGAAGGGACUCCUUUACUCUGUCUUUCUGGUGGGUCAGCCGAUCUGUUAGGAAGGGCAGGGAAGCCGCUUCUGCGGUUCUUUGUAUUUCUGUGUAACUGUUCCCCAAUAAACACCCAUUUAUCAUU